AUAUUGGACAAUGGGCGCAAGCCUGAUCCAGCCAUGCCGCGUGAGUGACGAAGGUCUUCGGAUUGUAAAGCUCUUUUGGCGGGGACGAUAAUGACGGUACCCGCAGAAUAAGCCCCGGCUAACUUCGUGCCAGCAGCCACGGUAAUACCAAGGGGGCUAGCGUUGUUCGGAAUUACUGGGCGUAAAGCGCACGUAGGCGGAUUUGCAAGUCAGGGGUGAAAUCCCGGGGCUCAACCUCGGAACUGCCUUUGAUACUGCCGAUCUCGAGUCCGGAAGAGGUGAGUGGAAUUCCUAGUGUAGAGGUGAAAUUCGUAGAUAUUAGGAAGAACACCAGUGGCGAAGGCGGCUCACUGGUCCGGUACUGACGCUGAGGUGCGAAAGCGUGGGGAGCAAACAGG
This 398-nucleotide ribosomal RNA is filed under the name uncultured bacterium. Its description in RNAcentral is "partial 16S ribosomal RNA". It matches the Rfam family "Bacterial small subunit ribosomal RNA", at positions 361 to 776 of the family's 1533-position model. The record is from RNAcentral.